AGGAGUGAAUGCUCAGCACCUAACCCUUGUUCCUCCCACCACAAGCAGUUUACUACAGAGAUCCAAACAUCACAGAUUGAGGGAAUGAGAAUACAACUCCUGGGACACAAAGCAUGCCAGGUGCAUACAGGGACAGCAGCAUUUGCUCACAAUGUAGAAUGAAAUUGAUUUAUUUGGGAAAUAAAGGGCAGAAUUAAAUUGGAAAGAAGAAAUAUAUGUAGGGAUACAUGUCAUAGAAAUCCUUGCCAGUAAGGCACACCAGUGCUUUCCUCAGAAGUGCAAACAGAAGGUUUUCUCUUCCCCUUUCAUCAGGAGUCUGCUUUCAAAACUGCAGUGACUACUUUGUUUCCAAACGCUGUCACCCAAUUACUUAUUUUAAAAAAAGAUGACUAAAACUUCUCUAUUCUGCUCACUUGCAUUAUUUCACAAGCAAACUGUUUGGUGGGGUUAUUUUUGUGGGUGGGGGAAAGUGGGUGCAAAUUGAAUCUGAACAUCAUUUGUAAGCACUUCCAAAGAAUACCUGUGCAACAGUUUAAAUAUUGAAAGUUUUACCUGUUACAUAGACACAUACAGGCUUUGGGAUCUUGAAGUUAUGCUUUGCUUAAAAAGUCACAAACUUCUAAUCCAUUAGCAUUUCCCUUAUGAGACCUAAAGCUUCUAUGAGUCUGUGAGGUGUUUAAUUUUUCAUAAACUUAUCUAUGCUCAGUUUUAGCAGAUCUCCCAGAAGUAAUACAAACUGCACUUGGGUUUUUCUCCCCAAGUAUCCACUGUUAAAGAUUUCCAGCUGUAAAACCCUCCCAGCACUGAGGCCACCCACAAGCUCCCACUGCCUGGUUUUGCUGGGACACCCGAAUUCCGAUGGUUGCUCCACUUUGAUCUGCAAGCUGGAGCUUCUGCCUCUCAAUCAGGGAAUGCCAGUCAUGCCAAGUUGUGCAAUGAUUGAUUCACUGGGGAAAAGGGCUCAGUCCAAAACAAGCACACUAACAUCUUCUGAAAAUACCCUUCUCUGUGUUUUUACUUAAUGAAAACAUUAUAUCAAAGAGAAGCCACAAACCAACCGCUUCUGCUGCAUUAUAGGUGAAGUGUUUUCAGGCAGAGUUCCAGUCCCAGCCAGUAAUUCAAAACUCUCAUGUAAAUAAAGCUUAGGGCAAUGUGGGAUAAACAGGCAAGACAACACUUGCAAUCAUGCAGAUACUAUUCCAAGAGACAAUGCCACUACACACUGCAUCCAUGAAUGAAUAUGAGCCAAGUCUGGGAAAACCAAGAGACCAAAAGCAGGAUAGAGGAUAUCUGCUUCAGCCACCAGGGAUUGCAACAACUGGGAAAAGCAACACAACUUGUGUGAUGACAACAUUCUUCUAACUACCAGCAAUCCAAUUUCCCAACACUGAGAGCCACCAUGAAGCUCAGCUUCCUACAGGAGAGAGUACCUAAUUACCAAAUCUUCAUAAAACAAAGAAAAGUUAGCUUGAUACUUCUUUUCAGCAGCAACAAGCCCCAUCUUCUCCUAACAGAAGGAACUGCCUCUGCUGUGCAGGUUAUAAACUCCAGGUUAUAAAGGAAUCACCUUUAUGCUCCUUGAGGAAAGAUUUCAAGGUGUACAAGCCAAACCCUAGACAGCUGCAGCUGCUCCCUCGGGUCCUGUCACUGGUCACCAGUGAGAAGAGAUCAGAACGAAGGAAGAAAACAUCCCUGGGCUUCAUGAGCCAUUCCUCAUCUAAAGGAAAACUCUGCAAAUUCCACCCUGCUUUGGUGACACUAAAAAAAAAAUAAAAUCUGCAUUCAGGGUACCCCAGAAUACUGAAAUUUCUCCUUAACACCCUUACAAUUUCUCAGAUAUUUACAAGGUGGGGAGUGCACCAGGAGAUGGGACAGCAAAGAAAAACAAGCUGGGCUCGUGGGCAGAGUAACAAGGAGAGCUGCUGUGCAGGGAAGGGACACGUCCCAGCGGGGUACAGGUGCUGUGAAAAUCUCCCCAUCCCACCCUGGAGCAGCCCCUGUGGUUCUCUGUCUGCCAGGUUUGGAUUGCUGGGGCUGGAGCCAUUCCCCAGCACGAUGCUCGAGGCUUUGG
This is a long non-coding RNA of Passer montanus (Eurasian tree sparrow), 2071 nucleotides long. RefSeq lists it as uncharacterized. NCBI's taxonomy places the organism in Eukaryota, Metazoa, Chordata, Aves, Passeriformes, Passeridae. The transcript is spliced from 3 exons. The record is from RefSeq and is a predicted model, not a curated record.